CCUACGGGGGGCAGCAGUGGGGAAUAUUGGGCAAUGGAGGAAACUCUGACCCAGCAACGCCGCGUGAAUGAUGAAGGUCUUCGGAUUGUAAAGUUCUUUUCUAAGGGAAGAAGAAAGUGACGGUACCUUAGGAAUAAGCCUCGGCUAACUACGUGCCAGCAGCCGCGGUAAUACGUAGGAGGCGAGCAUUAUCCGGAAUGACUGGGCGUAAAGGGGUCGUAGGUGGUUUGGCAAGUUAGUAGCGUAACUCCAAGGCUCAACCUUGGAACUACUACUAAAACUGUUGGACUUGAGUGCAGGAGGGGCAACCGGAAUUCCUAGUGUAGCGGUGGAAUGCGUAGAUAUCACGCAGAACUCCGAUUGCGAAGGCAGCAUACCGGCGCUCAACUGACGCUCAUGCACGAAAGUGUGGGUAUCGAACAGGAUUAGAUACCCCUGUAGUC
RNAcentral lists this ribosomal RNA (443 nucleotides) under uncultured bacterium. RNAcentral describes it as "partial 16S ribosomal RNA". It matches the Rfam family "Bacterial small subunit ribosomal RNA", at positions 338 to 795 of the family's 1533-position model. The record is from RNAcentral.